This 322-nucleotide ribosomal RNA is filed under the name uncultured eukaryote. RNAcentral's name for it is "partial 18S ribosomal RNA". It matches the Rfam family "Eukaryotic small subunit ribosomal RNA", at positions 1470 to 1796 of the family's 1831-position model. The record is from RNAcentral.
CCCUUAGAUGUUCUGGGCCGCACGCGUGCUACACUGAGUGGAUCAGCGGGUCAGGUUGCGCGAAAGUGUUUCCUAAUCUUGAAAUCCGCUCGUGAUGGGGAUUGACGGUUGCAAUUUUCCGUCAUGAACGAGGAAUACCUUGUAAGCGCGGGUCAUCAUCUCGCGCUGAAUACGUCCCUGCCCUUUGUACACACCGCCCGUCGCUCCUACCGAUUGAGUGGUCCGGUGAGGCUUUGGGAUCUGAGCGGAAAGAGCGUUUCGCUGUUUCUGCUCGGAAAACUCAGUCGAACCUUAUCAUUUAGAGGAAGGAGAAGUCGUAACA